GUUUUCUAUUUAUAGAUGUACAAUCUUCUUUAGGUGGAGUAAUACAUGGUCAGCCUAUAAGCCGACUCUAAUGGGCUGGUGAGCCCCUUUGAAUGCCCUUCCAGCCAUGAGUGCGCACCCUGUGAGCAAAGCUAGGAGUGUGGUGAUAGCUCACCAGGAGCUAUCCCAUACAAAUAUAUUAAGACCAGAAGAAAAGAGAUGAAUGAGAAGGAGAGAAAAGGAAAAGAGUAAGGAAAACCUAAAAAAACAAAAAAAAUCUAGCAAUGAAGGCUAGAAAAACCUUUCCAAGGGAGAAACCCUAAAGGGAACCAAAAACCUCCAAGGAAAAACUUUGAGAGAGAAAAAAGAUGAGGACGGUAAGUAUACUAAUCAUGGCUAGUAAUAUAUAUAUAUAUAUAUAGAAUUGAGAUCACUAGAUAACCAAGACCUAUAAUUAGAAUUAGGAAUUCAUCGUGACCGUUGAUCAUGCAUAAUCUGAUGGCUGUCAUCUUACCCGCCUCAUUAAGGGUAAAUUGUAAUUACGCGUUUUGAAUGACUAUCCCUGCUUUUUCGUUUCUUCUAUUUUCACUUUCUCUCUCUUCAUUCCAUUUUCUCUCUCCUCUUUCAAAUUCUCUCGUGCGACAGUUGCGGUCACUGAGCUCUUUGCAAGUCCUCUUCUCAAAUUCGCAACUUUUCAUCUUUGCUCAUUAUUCUAGCAAAUUUAUGGGCAGCCGAACAAAGAUUUGAAGGAGAUUAAUAAUGUGAAAGAUGAGAUAUCAAGGCUCCAAGUGAAACCAAUGUAUGUUUCCUUGAACUUGUCAUUGAUUCAACCUUGUGCUAUACUAUUCUAAACUCAAUCGCUUGAGUUUUAACCAUUACUGUAUUAAUUUACACGAGGCUGCUGGAGAAAGAUUUGUCAGGCUUGAGCAUGAAAGAAUAACAGCUGCUGGAAAAGCAACUCAAUGAAAGCCUAAUGUCCAUAAAAGCUAAGAAGGUGGCUUUAGUUUUGUGGUUCCUUUUGUUUAUUUCUGUCUUCUAUAUGAGGCUACUCGUAUUAUUGUUCGACAAGCACCCACAUUAAUAGAAAUUUAUGUGAAUAUUUGCUACUGUAGGACCAAUUACCUGUGCUAUACUAUUCUUACAUUUUUUUUUU
Long non-coding RNA from Chenopodium quinoa (quinoa), 1132 nucleotides. RefSeq lists it as uncharacterized. NCBI's taxonomy places the organism in Eukaryota, Viridiplantae, Streptophyta, Magnoliopsida, Caryophyllales, Amaranthaceae. The transcript is spliced from 2 exons. The record is from RefSeq and is a predicted model, not a curated record.